Molecule: ribosomal RNA, 246 nt
Filed under: uncultured bacterium
Lineage: Bacteria
Description: partial 16S ribosomal RNA
Rfam family: Bacterial small subunit ribosomal RNA
Source: RNAcentral
UACGGGGGAGCAAGCGUUGUUCGGAUUACUGGGCGUAAAGGGCGCGUAGGCGGUCGUGACAAGUCACUUGUGAAAUCUCCGGGCUUAACUCGGAACGGUCAAGUGAUACUGUCGGACUAGAGUACAGAAGGGCAACUGGAAUCUCGGUGUAGCGGUGAAUGCGUAGAUAUCGAGAGGAACACCUGCGGCGAAGGCGGUGCUGGGCUGAUGACUGACGCUGAGGCGCGAAGCCAGGGAGCGAACGGG